UGCAAUUUGAUGUAAGAUGCAUGAAGAAUUUUGAUUUCUUUUGAUCUAGUUUGAUUCUAGAAUUUGUAU
This 69-nucleotide transfer RNA is filed under the name Geisha distinctissima. RNAcentral's name for it is "tRNA-Gln". Lineage: Eukaryota; Metazoa; Arthropoda; Insecta; Hemiptera; Flatidae. The record is from RNAcentral.